GUCGUAACAAGGUUUCCGUAGGUGAACCUGCGGAAGGAUCAUUAUCGGGGGGAGUGGGUGAGAGGGGAUGGUAGAACACCUUUGGGUUAGAGGCCACGCUCUGUGCCCACGGACGACCAUGUGGUAUGUGUGUGUUGUGGUUUGUCACUUGCAAUUGGAAGUGGCACUCACCAUUUUAACCGUUUUUUAUGUCUAAUACCCGCUCGAAGGAGCACAACACGUAAAACUGCCAGCAAUGGAUCACUCGGUUCUCGCAUCGAUGAAGAGCGUAGCGAAUUGCGAAAAGUAAUGUGAUUUGCACCAUUCGUGAAUCAUUGAAUUCUUGAACGCACCUUGCACCGUGCGGGCAACUGCACGGUCUGCCUGUCUGAGCAUUGAUUGGAUGUGUCGCCAACGUAAGGCGGAUGAUGGGCGCUGCAGCCUGUGGGCUGGCGUCUGCAAUGGAACAUGAGAGGAGGUGUGGCGAUGAUGGCGAGGCAGCUUGCUGCAGCGGAUCAGCACCACGACCACCCCCCAUACCAGAACCAACUACACAAUCUCAGAUCAGGUAGGAGUACCCGCUUAACUUAAGCAUAUCAGUCAGCGGAGGAAAAGAAACCAACAGGGAUUCCCUUAGUAACGGCGAGUGAAGCGGGAACAGCUCAGGCUGGAAAUCAAGCGGGCACAUGUGCGCGGCUUGACGUGUGGUCUGACGAGGCAUGCUCGGCGGCCGGUAUAUGCUCAAGUCCUCUGGAAAGGGGCACCGUGGAGGGUGAGAGUCCCGUUCGCAGCAUUUUGCCGGUGGUCAUGAGAGCGGUCUUCAGAGAGUCGGGUUGCUUGGGAGUGCAGCCCAAAAGGGGUGGUAUACGCCAUCCAAGGCUAAAUAUGAGCGAGAGACCGAUAGCGAACAAGUACUGUGAAGGAAAGUUGAAAAGCACUCUGGAGAGAGAGUCAAAGAGCACGUGAAAUUGCUGGCAGGGAAGCGCUGGGCGACAGUGCGCAUGCGCGCAGGAACAGGCUUGCGGCGGUGGUCUGCGGGCGGACACGAUGUGACCGCGUGUGGUGCUGCUGGCGGGGGCUGCAUGCCUGCGGGCGUGGGCCAGCAUCGGUUGUGUGGGGAGGAGGACGGUUUUGGGAGUGAUGCUUCGGUGUUGCUCGCAGGAUGCGGCACUCUCUGGGCGACCGAGGAAUGCAGGGCGGCUUUGCGGGUGCGGUGGCGUGGAUGGGGUAAUGGGGUCGGAUGACAGCAUGCUGACAUUCAGUUCCCGGUGCACCACCCACUCACCCUCCCUCGCCCUACAGAUGUUGGCGAAAUGGCGUCCAUCGACC
RNAcentral lists this ribosomal RNA (1308 nucleotides) under uncultured fungus. Its description in RNAcentral is "eukaryotic LSU rRNA". The stretch from base 534 to 1308 matches the Rfam family "Eukaryotic large subunit ribosomal RNA", at positions 1 to 649 of the family's 3401-position model. The record is from RNAcentral. Lineage: Eukaryota; Fungi.